GAGAGAGAGAGAGAGAAGAAAAAGAAGAAGAGGCUGUCUUGCAAGAAUAUUCCUCAAAGAAACUAAUAAAAAAUCAAAUCUUUAAUGUGCUAGGUCUCAUUUCCAAAAUGAACCACUAGGACAAGCCAAACACUAAAAUUACAUCCACCAAGUUAUUAUGAGAGUCAAGAGUAUUAGGGAAGUGCUCUUCACUCUUUCUUUUGCACUUUGUCACUGAUUAUGUUUUCAUCAAUUUAAUUUAUGACAACAAGAAUUAAUGAAGAUAGGCAAACACUGAUUAGUUCCACUAUUCAAAUGGGAAUUAAACAGAAUUCUUUCAAGUAAAAAUCCAAAGUUCUUUCAUCCUUGGUCAUUGGUCACAACUCACAAGGUUGGCCUUGGAGCAAUGGUAAGGUUCUUCAUUGUGACCUGAAGGUCAUGAGUUCAAAUUACAUAAAUAUUCUUCUUAUCACAAAUGUAGACAUCAUAUGAUUUAUCAGUAUUUUAUUUCAAUUUGCUUCUUCCAACAUUCUUGGACUAAAGUUCAGAGCACAUAAUAGACAUUUUUGUUUGGUGAAUAGGGUAUUUAGAUGACAGCAUCAGAGAAGAAUUAGAUUGUUGCAAACCCAAAAUCCAUAACAAAUGGGAAACCCUUGUAACAUUGAACUUAAAUAUUGUUAAUACAAAACAGGUCUCCUUUCAAAGUCAUCUCCAGGAAUAAAAUUUUUCAGUGAAGAUGAGUAUAUAUUUUAAGGAUAUAGAGUGAGUUUGGGGCUGCAGGGGCCUGAGAGUUUGUGCACCCCAGGCCCCCCACAGGCCAAACAGGGCCACAGAGGACCUGUUUAUAAUAUUAGAAAAUAUGACCAACUCCUAUAAUACUUGUAACAUUAAGGAUAAGACAAUGAGAUCUUUCCUCUCUAGAUAUUUUAAUCUCUACCAAGUACCAACUAGCUACUGGCUAUUGUCUUAACCCUCAAAGUAAGCGUGCUAGGAGCAGCUUAGCACCCACUUUUAUGGUGUUUCUCUAUAUUUUGCAAGGAUUCUCCUAGUUGGGAAAACACCAGAAUCCACCAGAAAUUUUUUGUUAUUUAUUAACAAGCUACUAUGAAGCACAACAAAUUUCGAAAAAGUGCAUGAAGAAGGAAUGUUGAAACUAAGGCAUCUUAUUCAUGAUUCUAGAAGCAACAAGAAAAAUUAAAAUAAUAAAAAGCACAAAAAAAGGAUUCUCCAAGUGCUGCAACUAUCCUAAAUUGAUCAAAGUAAAGUCCUGGAGACGAGUUUAAUACAGUGCUCUGCCAAUUAGUAUAUCAUUUGAGCUAAUAAGUAAUAAAUUUGGGUUAAAAAUAAAUAAAUAACACAAUUUUCUUUCCAAAAAAUGCAUUAACUCCAUUCAUCUCCUUUGAUACAAAAUCACUAACAUUGCGGCAAUGCUAUUCCAGCCCACUUGGAAUGAAAUGACAUCUCUUUAUAAAUGAAAUACUCGGAGAAUCUCUCAAACCAAAUAGAGUCUAAAAAAACAUCUUAAACUCCCACAUAUCAUAUAGUAAAGAAGCACAUAGUUUGCUCCCAUCCAAAAUUCUCUAUUCUCCCAUCCAAAAUUCUCUAUU
This 1586-nucleotide unclassified non-coding RNA is filed under the name Hevea brasiliensis (rubber tree). The record is from RNAcentral. Lineage: Eukaryota; Viridiplantae; Streptophyta; Magnoliopsida; Malpighiales; Euphorbiaceae.